GAUUAACGCUGGCGGCAUGCCUAAUACAUGCAAGUCGAACGGAAGCAGCAAUGCUUUAGUGGCGAACGGGUGAGUAACACGUAGGGAACCUACCUAUACGACGAGGAUAACUACUGGAAACGGUAGCUAAAACUGGAUAGGAUCAAUUGAGGCAUCUUGAUUGAUUUAAAGAUCCUUCGGGAUUACGUAGAGAUGGCCCUGCGGCGCAUUAGCUAGUUGGUGAGGUAACGGCCCACCAAGGCGACGAUGCGUAGCUGAGCUGAGAGGCUAAACAGCCACACUGGGACUGAGACACGGCCCAGACUCCUACGGGAGGCAGCAGUAGGGAAUUUUCGGCAAUGGGGGAAACCCUGACCGAGCAAUGCCGCGUGAACGAUGAAGGUCUUCGGAUUGUAAAGUUCUGUGAUUGGGGAAGAAUGGUAUUCUUAGGGAAUGAGGAGUACAUGACGGUACCCGAUUAGAAAGCCCCGGCUAACUAUGUGCCAGCAGCCGC
RNAcentral lists this ribosomal RNA (493 nucleotides) under uncultured bacterium. RNAcentral's name for it is "bacterial SSU rRNA". It matches the Rfam family "Bacterial small subunit ribosomal RNA", at positions 28 to 518 of the family's 1533-position model. The record is from RNAcentral.